This 974-nucleotide ribosomal RNA is filed under the name Salmonella enterica subsp. enterica serovar Kentucky. RNAcentral describes it as "partial 23S ribosomal RNA". It matches the Rfam family "Bacterial large subunit ribosomal RNA", at positions 566 to 1527 of the family's 2925-position model. The record is from RNAcentral. Lineage: Bacteria; Pseudomonadati; Pseudomonadota; Gammaproteobacteria; Enterobacterales; Enterobacteriaceae.
CGACGCCCAACACACAAAACAAGCGGUGAGUGCUUUGGGGUGGGGUGACUGCGUACCUUUUGUAUAAUGGGUCAGCGACUUAUAUUCUGUAGCAAGGUUAACCGUAUAGGGGAGCCGAAGGGAAACCGAGUCUUAACCGGGCGUUAAGUUGCAGGGUAUAGACCCGAAACCCGGUGAUCUAGCCAUGGGCAGGUUGAAGGUUGGGUAACACUAACUGGAGGACCGAACCGACUAAUGUUGAAAAAUUAGCGGAUGACUUGUGGCUGGGGGUGAAAGGCCAAUCAAACCGGGAGAUAGCUGGUUCUCCCCGAAAGCUAUUUAGGUAGCGCCUCGUGAACUCAUCUUCGGGGGUAGAGCACUGUUUCGGCUAGGGGGUCAUCCCGACUUACCAACCCGAUGCAAACUGCGAAUACCGAAGAAUGUUAUCACGGGAGACACACGGCGGGUGCUAACGUCCGUCGUGAAGAGGGAAACAACCCAGACCGCCAGCUAAGGUCCCAAAGUCACAGUUAAGUGGGAAACGAUGUGGGAAGGCUCAGACAGCCAGGAUGUUGGCUUAGAAGCAGCCAUCAUUUAAAGAAAGCGUAAUAGCUCACUGGUCGAGUCGGCCUGCGCGGAAGAUGUAACGGGGCUAAACUGUGCACCGAAGCUGCGGCAGCGACGCUUAUGCGUUGUUGGGUAGGGGAGCGUUCUGUAAGCCUGCGAAGGUGUCCUGUGAGGGAUGCUGGAGGUAUCAGAAGUGCGAAUGCUGACAUAAGUAACGAUAAUGCGGGUGAAAAGCCCGCUCGCCGGAAGACCAAGGGUUCCUGUCCAACGUUAAUCGGGGCAGGGUGAGUCGACCCCUAAGGCGAGGCCGAAAGGCGUAGUCGAUGGGAAACGGGUUAAUAUUCCCGUACUUGGUGUUACUGCGAAGGGGGGACGGAGAAGGCUAUGUUGGCCGGGCGACGGUUGUCCCGGUUUAAGCGUGUAGGCUG